Molecule: ribosomal RNA, 254 nt
Filed under: uncultured bacterium
Lineage: Bacteria
Description: partial 16S ribosomal RNA
Rfam family: Bacterial small subunit ribosomal RNA
Source: RNAcentral
GACGAGCCGUGCGAACGUUAUUCGGAAUCACUGGGCUUAAAGCGCGUGUAGGCGGUGCGGUGCGUCGGUCGCUGAAAUCCCCCGGCUCAACCGGGGAAGGGGCGCCGAUACGACCGGCCUGGAGCGACGUAGGGGGAACUGGAACUUCCGGUGGAGCGGUGAAAUGCGUUGAGAUCGGAAGGAACGCCCGUGGCGAAAGCGGCUCACUGGACCAUUACUGACGCUGAGGCACGAAAGCUAGGGGAGCAAACAGG